UCGGGACCGGCACUUCGCAGGGUGUGCCCAUGAUCGGUUGCGAUUGCGACGUUUGCCAUUCGUCUGACCCGCGCGAUCAGCGACUGCGCUCGUCGAUUUAUGUCGAGACGCCGGAGUGCGCCUGGGUGGUCGAUACUGGAACAGAUUUUCGAACGCAGGCUCUGCGCGAAAAUAUUCGGCGACUCGACGCGGUCGUCUUCACGCAUUCCCACACGGACCACAUCAUGGGGUUCGACGAUCUUCGGCGUUAUUCGUACAACCUGGGCUCGAUCCCGGUUUACGCCUCCGCAGAAACGAUGCGCGAUCUCGCGCGCGUUUAUGAAUUCGCCUUCAACGGCCUCAAUCGCUUUC
RNAcentral lists this unclassified non-coding RNA (351 nucleotides) under uncultured bacterium. Its description in RNAcentral is "contains 16S-23S intergenic spacer region". The record is from RNAcentral.